AGAGUUUGAUCCUGGCUCAGGAUGAACGCUAGCUACAGGCUUAACACAUGCAAGUCGAGGGGCAGCAUGUUGGUUGCUUGCAACCAACGAUGGCGACCGGCGCACGGGUGGGUAACGCGUAUCCAACCUACCCUUGUCCAUCGGAUAACCCGUCGAAAGGCGGCCUAACACGAUAUGCGGUUCACAGCAGGCAUCUAACGUGAACGAAAUGUAAAGGAGAAGGAUGGGGAUGCGUCUGAUUAGCUUGUUGGCGGGGUAACGCCACAAGGCGACGAUCAGUAGGGGUUCUGAGAGGAAGGUCCCCCANAUUGGAACUGAGACACGGUUCAAACUCCUACGGGAGGCA
Molecule: ribosomal RNA, 346 nt
Filed under: uncultured bacterium
Lineage: Bacteria
Description: bacterial SSU rRNA
Rfam family: Bacterial small subunit ribosomal RNA
Source: RNAcentral